CGUUGAUAGGCUGGGUGUGGAAGCGCAGUAAUGCGUUAAGCUAACCAGUACUAAUUGCUCGUGCGGCUUGACCCU
This 75-nucleotide ribosomal RNA is filed under the name Comamonadaceae bacterium. RNAcentral describes it as "partial 23S ribosomal RNA". It matches the Rfam family "Bacterial large subunit ribosomal RNA", at positions 2851 to 2925 of the family's 2925-position model. Lineage: Bacteria; Pseudomonadati; Pseudomonadota; Betaproteobacteria; Burkholderiales; Comamonadaceae. The record is from RNAcentral.